AUGCUGGAGGUAUCAGAAGUGCGAAUGCUGACAUAAGUAACGAUAAAGCGGGUGAAAAGCCCGCUCGCCGGAAGACCAAGGGUUCCUGUCCAACGUUAAUCGGGGCAGGGUGAGUCGACCCCUAAGGCGAGGCCGAAAGGCGUAGUCGAUGGGAAACAGGUUAAUAUUCCUGUACUUGGUGUUACUGCGAAGGGGGGACGGAGAAGGCUAUGUUGGCCGGGCGACGGUUGUCCCGGUUUAAGCGUGUAGGCUGGUUUUCCAGGCAAAUCCGGAAAAUCAAGGCUGAGGCGUGAUGACGAGGCACUACGGUGCUGAAGCAACAAAUGCCCUGCUUCCAGGAAAAGCCUCUAAGCAUCAGGUAACAUCAAAUCGUACCCCAAACCGACACAGGUGGUCAGGUAGAGAAUACCAAGGCGCUUGAGAGAACUCGGGUGAAGGAACUAGGCAAAAUGGUGCCGUAACUUCGGGAGAAGGCACGCUGAUAUGUAGGUGAGGUCCCUCGCGGAUGGAGCUGAAAUCAGUCGAAGAUACCAGCUGGCUGCAACUGUUUAUUAAAAACACAGCACUGUGCAAACACGAAAGUGGACGUAUACGGUGUGACGCCUGCCCGGUGCCGGAAGGUUAAUUGAUGGGGUUAGCGCAAGCGAAGCUCUUGAUCGAAGCCCCGGUAAACGGCGGCCGUAACUAUAACGGUCCUAAGGUAGCGAAAUUCCUUGUCGGGUAAGUUCCGACCUGCACGAAUGGCGUAAUGAUGGCCAGGCUGUCUCCACCCGAGACUCAGUGAAAUUGAACUCGCUGUGAAGAUGCAGUGUACCCGCGGCAAGACGGAAAGACCCCGUGAACCUUUACUAUAGCUUGACACUGAACAUUGAGCCUUGAUGUGUAGGAUAGGUGGGAGGCUUUGAAGUGUGGACGCCAGUCUGCAUGGAGCCGACCUUGAAAUACCACCCUUUAAUGUUUGAUGUUCUAACGUUGACCCGUAAUCCGGGUUGCGGACAGUGUCUGGUGGGUAGUUUGACUGGGGCGGUCUCCUCCUAAAGAGUAACGGAGGAGCACGAAGGUUGGCUAAUCCUGGUCGGACAUCAGGAGGUUAGUGCAAUGGCAUAAGCCAGCUUGACUGCGAGCGUGACGGCGCGAGCAGGUGCGAAAGCAGGUCAUAGUGAUCCGGUGGUUCUGAAUGGAAGGGCCAUCGCUCAACGGAUAAAAGGUACUCCGGGGAUAACAGGCUGAUACCGCCCAAGAGUUCAUAUCGACGGCGGUGUUUGGCACCUCGAUGUCGGCUCAUCACAUCCUGGGGCUGAAGUAGGUCCCAAGGGUAUGGCUGUUCGCCAUUUAAAGUGGUACGCGAGCUGGGUUUAGAACGUCGUGAGACAGUUCGGUCCCUAUCUGCCGUGGGCGCUGGAGAACUGAGGGGGGCUGCUCCUAGUACGAGAGGACCGGAGUGGACGCAUCACUGGUGUUCGGGUUGUCAUGCCAAUGGCACUGCCCGGUAGCUAAAUGCGGAAGAGAUAAGUGCUGAAAGCAUCUAAGCACGAAACUUGCCCCGAGAUGAGUUCUCCCUGACUCUUUGAGGGUCCUGAAGGAACGUUGAAGACGACGACGUUGAUAGGCCGGGUGUGUAAGCGCAGCGAUGCGUUGAGCUAACCGGUACUAAUGAACCGUGAGGCUUAACCUU
Molecule: ribosomal RNA, 1675 nt
Filed under: Escherichia coli KTE61
Lineage: Bacteria; Pseudomonadati; Pseudomonadota; Gammaproteobacteria; Enterobacterales; Enterobacteriaceae
Description: bacterial LSU rRNA
Rfam family: Bacterial large subunit ribosomal RNA
Source: RNAcentral